Long non-coding RNA from Aegilops tauschii subsp. strangulata, 867 nucleotides. RefSeq lists it as uncharacterized. The record is from RefSeq and is a predicted model, not a curated record. NCBI's taxonomy places the organism in Eukaryota, Viridiplantae, Streptophyta, Magnoliopsida, Poales, Poaceae.
UGUAGCCAUCUUCUUAUGAUCAUACAAAAUAGUUAAGCAGCAUGCCGUUUCUUUUGUAUCUUCUUGCGCAGAUUUUUAACAGGCGGAGUAUUGUUGCUUCGAGUGUGUCUCCGGUUCAAUGUCACAUGACACCAUCGCUCCGCCAGGCGAUCCGGUAUGAGGGAGCGCCAUGGGAGAACCUAGCCCGUAGCCUAACCAUGGCGGCGGCCGGCAGGGGAGCUUGUCCCGGCGAUCCAGCAUCCCGGCGUGGAGGCGCCUCCGGCGAGCACCCUGACCCACGUGAGAAGGCCACAGUGGAAGCGUCUUGUCUGGUCGAGCAGCCAUGGUUCUGAUUGUUCAUGUUGAUUUUGAGUUGGGGUAGCAGGGGAAUUCACACUGUAGUGGAGUGAAAUUCAGAAGGACAUAGCAGAGGAUGUCCUGGAAGAAUACCAAAAAGGUUGCGGCCGAGAGACAAUGUUGGGAACAUAGGAUGUCUGGAUGCUGAUGUAGAGGCUUCUCAUUCUGUUCAUUUGUGUUGUGUCGUUCCUUGCCAGAAUUCUAUACAUGUGUAUGGUAGCUAAUUCUGCUGGCUGAAUUUUAACCAUGUCUAUCCGCACAUGCUUUCUAUGUCGGAAGUGGCAUGUGAACUUCUGUGAGCAUAUUCCUUUUAAUUGGUUGAGAAAAUUGUACUUUGCGUUAAACUAGGUUUGUUUCUGAAUUUGACUCUAUUGAUGAGCUCCAUGAUCUAUCAUAAAGUGUUGCCAGAAGAUGCCUGUAAUCUUGGUAGAAAGAAUGGUAUCCUGAAGAUGCCUGUAAUCUUGGUAGAAAGAAUGGUAUCCUGAAGAUGCCUGUAAUCUUGGUAGAAAGAAUGGCAUCCUGAAUUUCUGA